AUUGAACGCUGGCGGCAGGCCUAACACAUGCAAGUCGAGCGGAUGAAGGGAGCUUGCUCCUGGAUUCAGCGGCGGACGGGUGAGUAAUGCCUAGGAAUCUGCCUGGUAGUGGGGGAUAACGUCCGGAAACGGGCGCUAAUACCGCAUACGUCCUGAGGGAGAAAGUGGGGGAUCUUCGGACCUCACGCUAUCAGAUGAGCCUAGGUCGGAUUAGCUAGUUGGUGGGGUAAAGGCCUACCAAGGCGACGAUCCGUAACUGGUCUGAGAGGAUGAUCAGUCACACUGGAACUGAGACACGGUCCAGACUCCUACGGGAGGCAGCAGUGGGGAAUAUUGGACAAUGAGCGAAAGCCUGAUCCAGCCAUGCCGCGUGUGUGAAGAAGGUCUUCGGAUUGUAAAGCACUUUAGGUUGGGAGGAAGGGCAGUAAGUUAAUACCUUGCUGUUUUGACGGUACCAACAGAAUAAGCACCGGCUAACUUCGUG
Molecule: ribosomal RNA, 484 nt
Filed under: uncultured bacterium
Lineage: Bacteria
Description: partial 16S ribosomal RNA
Rfam family: Bacterial small subunit ribosomal RNA
Source: RNAcentral